Long non-coding RNA from Syngnathus acus (greater pipefish), 1790 nucleotides. RefSeq lists it as uncharacterized. NCBI's taxonomy places the organism in Eukaryota, Metazoa, Chordata, Actinopteri, Syngnathiformes, Syngnathidae. The transcript is spliced from 2 exons. The record is from RefSeq and is a predicted model, not a curated record.
CCAGAUACCUUUUGUCACGUUUUGGUGCGUCAAAAGUGAAUAUUUUGUAAAGAUUAUCAAUUGAUAGACGUUUUGUGGUUUGUGAUGGAUGUCCCGCGACGAGUCGGUCACCUGUUCGAAGUCAUUCAAAUCUUCCAUUUGCAUUCCAGUCCAAUCCAAUCUUUUCACUCCCAUGCACCCACCACACUGAUAAGAGUUUUAGCUUCCUUUGUUUUGGAUUUCUCUGGCCCGCCGUCAAGAACUUUUCAAUGCAAGUCUGCAAAUUGACUUCAUUGUAGACGCGCGCGGUGCUAAUGAAUUGAAGCAGUCGUAAUGGACAUGAAGACAAUAAGCACUCAUUAGUACCCCCACCCGUCGCGCCCGCCCGCCCGCACCUCCGAGGACACAUGCAGAUAGAUGUAGAGACAAUUGAAGCGUGUGUCACCGCACAGCACAGGGAAGCUGAUGUCGGUGACGGUGGCUCCAUGCAGCACCUGCCCGACACAAGCACCCUUUCUUUUUCACGCGCAAGCGGCUCCGUCCGCUGAGGCGUGUCGACGGGAUUCGACGCUUUCCCGACCCGAAUUCGGACCUUUACCCGCAAUCGGCGCAAAUUGACUUCAUUGUAGACGCAUUCGUGGACGUGCAUGGUCGCCGAAAGCGCGCCGAUGGGCGUUAUGCGCACGCACCCACGCACGCGUACGUGCGUGCUUGCGAGUGCGGGUGGGGCGAGGGGUGAGAGGUCAAGUACUUUGCGUCCCCAUGAGAUGAUGAAAAGGUCAAAAUGGUGAAAAGGGACCACAAAAGAACAUUUGCCUCGGACACAAUGGCGCGCCAACCGAGGUGAGCGUGGAUUGGCUGCAGGCUCGAUUCCUUUCAGCGGCACCAGCUGCGCAAGGUCGCGGGGAGGGAGGGGGUCUACGGCACAUUUUGGGGGAGGACCAUUGAGGGGGACUGUGCGUGUACUUGUGGCUCUCUAUCUGUUUGUGUGUCUCGUCAUACUGUGUCGUCUUUGUAGGGGGUGGUGAAGGUUGGUCUGUGUGUGUGUGUGUGUGUGUGUGUGUGUGUGUGUGUGUGUGUGUGUGUGUGUGUGUGUGUGUGUGUGCGUGUGUGUGUGUGACCAUGAUGAUGAGGAGUUGGGUUCAGGGCUCUAUUUAAAUGUUUAUGAAUAUUUGGUUUGAUCAUGAGCUAAUAUGCUACAUGUACAUGUCACAUCGGAAUAAAUUUUGUUUUGUUUGCUUUAUAAUGAUUAAUGAUAAAUCAGAUUCAUGGUUUUCAUAGAGGAGGCCCCUAACCCAGCCACAGAGUCAAUGGUAUCGUCUGAUCUAUAAAAAUGCUGCGGUAGUGAUUCGGAACGGGAAUUCCCCAUCUCUUGAAUCACUCCAAAUUUUGAGCAAUAUUGGCUUUGAUAAUGUACUACAAUUGCUAAUGCUACGUGAACAUGUCAUUGCUUCCCAAGGAUUUAUUUUCUUUUUUUUCCGUCGUCACCUGCCAACAAGGAAAAGCUCUUCUCAAGACUCCUAUGCUAAAUGCUAAAGCUAACAUCUGGCGAGCCCGAGAGCGGCCGAUUAGCCAAUUAGCUCGUUGGCCCGGAAGGCGACUCCAAGGUCGGGAAACGAAUGGCUGGGGACGUCCCCGUUUCCUUUAUUCGCGGCUCCGCCAAACUUGAUUUUUUUUGUUUUGUUCUGCUUUUCUAAUGGACGUUUGUCCAAAUGUAACCUUGGACUUUUUAUGGACUGAUGGGUGAGGAAGACGAAGGUGAACAUGAUGAUUUAACCAUGAGGGCUAAUAAAGAAGCUCCUUCUUUCUGA